This 510-nucleotide ribosomal RNA is filed under the name uncultured bacterium. RNAcentral describes it as "partial 16S ribosomal RNA". It matches the Rfam family "Bacterial small subunit ribosomal RNA", at positions 28 to 507 of the family's 1533-position model. The record is from RNAcentral.
GACGAACGCUGGCGGCGUGCUUAACACAUGCAAGUCGAACGAAGAGCGAUGGAAGCUUGCUUCUAUCAAUCUUAGUGGCGAACGGGUGAGUAACGCGUAAUCAACCUGCCCUUCAGAGGGGGACAACAGUUGGAAACGACUGCUAAUACCGCAUACGAUCCAAUCUCGGCAUCGGGACUGGAUGAAAGGUGGCCUCUAUUUAUAAGCUAUCACUGAAGGAGGGGAUUGCGUCUGAUUAGCUAGUUGGAGGGGUAACGGCCCACCAAGGCGAUGAUCAGUAGCCGGUCUGAGAGGAUGAACGGCCACAUUGGGACUGAGACACGGCCCAGACUCCUACGGGAGGCAGCAGUGGGGAAUCUUCCGCAAUGGACGAAAGUCUGACGGAGCAACGCCGCGUGAGUGAUGACGGCCUUCGGGUUGUAAAGCUCUGUUAAUCGGGACGAAUGGUUCUUGUGCGAAUAGUGCGAGGAUUUGACGGUACCGGAAUUGAAAGCCACGGCUAACUACGUG